This 776-nucleotide ribosomal RNA is filed under the name uncultured Neocallimastigales. RNAcentral describes it as "partial large subunit ribosomal RNA". It matches the Rfam family "Eukaryotic large subunit ribosomal RNA", at positions 24 to 629 of the family's 3401-position model. The record is from RNAcentral. Lineage: Eukaryota; Fungi; Neocallimastigomycota; Neocallimastigomycetes; Neocallimastigales.
AUCUCUGUAGAGUCUGCAUAUCAAUAAGCGGAGGAAAAGAAACUAACAUAGGAUUCCCUCAGUAACGGCGAGUGAAGCGGGAAGAGCUCAAAUUUGAAAUCUUCAGGGUUCUACCUUGACGAAUUGUAGUUUAAAGAAGUGUUUUCUGUUGAAGUUUUGGUAAAAGUUCUUUGGAAUAGGACAUCAUAGAGGGUGAGAAUCCCGUAUUUGACCCUAUUUUCAGCUGUGUGAUACACUUUCAAAGAGUCGGAUUGUUUGGGAAUGCAGUCCAAAAUGGGUGGUAAAUUUCAUCUAAAGCUAAAUACUGGCGAGAGACCGAUAGCGAACAAGUACCGUGAGGGAAAGAUGAAAAGAACUUUGAAAAGAGAGUUAAACAGUACGUGAAAUUGUCAAAAGGGAAGCGUUUGACACCAGUGUUGUUUUCUCGAAAAUCAAUUAAAAAAGGCAGGAUUUUGUGUUGUAUUGACCUUAAUCAGCUUUCUGCACUCUUUUCUUGUCUUUUUUUUAAUGCACUUUUCGUUUAACAAGUCAACAUCAGUUUCUUUUGUUGUAAAAGGGUCAUUGGAAGGUGGCUUUCUUUUCGGAGAAAGUGUUUAUAGCCUUUGGCCUCUGCAAUCGGAGAGAUUGAGGUCUGCAGCGUAGAUCCUUCGGGGUUAGAUACAUUUGUGCUAAGUUAUAGCCUUUCAUAGACAACUUGUUGACUAUGAUCAGUCAUGUAGCUUACUCGCUUAUGCUAUUUUACCUACGCUUAGGAUGUUGAUAGUCACAGCGUGUAC